AUUGGUGUUACUGCAUCAUCCCUAGCCCUAAUGGAAUUGGACAAGGAAGAACGGUGAUUGUAAACGACGAUUGGGCCUUGUUCUCUCCGGCGAUGACUGGAAUCAAACGCCGACGACGUUUAUUGUUCUAAAUCUUCUUAAACUUCAAACCAUCAAAGAUAAACAUAAUCCAAAACAAACCCUAUUAAAGAUUAAACAGAACAACG
This is a long non-coding RNA of Arabidopsis thaliana (thale cress), 206 nucleotides long. RefSeq annotates it as other RNA. NCBI's taxonomy places the organism in Eukaryota, Viridiplantae, Streptophyta, Magnoliopsida, Brassicales, Brassicaceae. The record is from RefSeq. The transcript has a single exon.